This 246-nucleotide ribosomal RNA is filed under the name uncultured bacterium. RNAcentral's name for it is "partial 16S ribosomal RNA". It matches the Rfam family "Bacterial small subunit ribosomal RNA", at positions 523 to 769 of the family's 1533-position model. The record is from RNAcentral.
AUACGUAGGUGGCAAGCGUUAUCCGGAAUUAUUGGGCGUAAAGGGUGCGUAGGCGGUUUAUUAAGUCUAUGGUGAAAGUGCGGGGCUCAACCCCGUAUGGCCAUAGAAACUAGUAGACUUGAGUGCAGGAGAGGGCAAUGGAAUUCCAUGUGUAGCGGUAAAAUGCGUAGAUAUAUGGAGGAACACCAGUGGCGAAGGCGGCUUCCUGGUCUGUAACUGACACUGAGGCGCGAAAGCGUGGGUAGC